CCAGACUCCUACGGGAGGCAGCAGUGGGGAAUCUUCCGCAAUGGGCGCAAGCCUGACGGAGCAACGCCGCGUGAGUGAAGAAGGUCUUCGGAUCGUAAAGCUCUGUUGACGGGGACGAACGUGCGGAGUGCGAAUAGCGCUUUGUAAUGACGGUACCUGUCGAGGAAGCCACGGCUAACUACGUGCCAGCAGCCGCGGUAAUACGUAGGUGGCGAGCGUUGUCCGGAAUCAUUGGGCGUAAAGGGAGCGCAGGCGGGCCGGUAAGUCUUACUUAAAAGUGCGGGGCUCAACCCCGUGAUGGGAGAGAAACUAUCGGUCUUGAGUACAGGAGAGGAAAGCGGAAUUCCCAGUGUAGCGGUGAAAUGCGUAGAUAUUGGGAAGAACACCAGUGGCGAAGGCGGCUUUCUGGACUGCAACUGACGCUGAGGCUCGAAAGCCAGGGGAGCGAACGGGAUUAGAUACCCCGGUAGUCCUGGCCGUAAACGAUGGAUACUAGGUGUGGGAGGUAUCGACCCCUACCGUGCCGGAGUUAACGCAAUAAGUAUCCCGCCUGGGGAGUACGGCCGCAAGGCUGAAACUCAAAGGAA
Molecule: ribosomal RNA, 587 nt
Filed under: uncultured bacterium
Lineage: Bacteria
Description: bacterial SSU rRNA
Rfam family: Bacterial small subunit ribosomal RNA
Source: RNAcentral